UGAGUAACCUGCCCUUAACUCUCGGAUAAGCCUGGGAAACUGGGUUUAAUACCGGAUAUGACUCCUCAUCGCAUGGUGGGGGGUGGAAAGCUUUAUUGUGGUUUUGGAUGGACUCGCGGCCUAUCAGCUUGUUGGUGAGGUAAUGGCUUACCAAGGCGACGACGGGUAGCCGGCCUGAGAGGGUGACCGGCCACACUGGGACUGAGACACGGCCCAGACUCCUACGGGAGGCAG
This 234-nucleotide ribosomal RNA is filed under the name uncultured bacterium. RNAcentral's name for it is "partial 16S ribosomal RNA". It matches the Rfam family "Bacterial small subunit ribosomal RNA", at positions 118 to 351 of the family's 1533-position model. The record is from RNAcentral.